AUGGACUGGGCUCCCUUCUCCCUCCUUCCCCUGGUUUUCUCCACAGGUCUCUGUGCUGCACCUGUGCUGACCCAGCCCCCAUGCACCCUCAGCAGUGAGCACAGCAGCUACACCAUUCCCUGGUAUCAACAGAGACUGGGAAAUGGCUCUCUGUACGUGAUGUACAUUAAGAGUGAUGGAAGCCAGAAGAAGGGGGACAGGAUCCCUGAUGACUUCUCGGGCUCCAGCUCUGGGGCCAACUGCUACUUAACCAUCUCCAGCCUCCAGUCUGAGGACGAGACUGACUAUGUCUGUGGUGAGAGCCACACACACAACAGCCUUUUCACAGAAGCUGCAGAGACACAGACCAAAGAGGAGUGA
This is a non-coding RNA of Phyllostomus hastatus (greater spear-nosed bat), 360 nucleotides long. Lineage: Eukaryota; Metazoa; Chordata; Mammalia; Chiroptera; Phyllostomidae. The record is from the annotation of a RefSeq genome assembly.